CUACGGUUAAAUCACAUUGAAAACAUCGGUUCUCGUUCGAUCACCGAAGUUAUGCAGCAUCGAGUCCGGUUAGUACUUAGAUGAGGGACUGCUUGGGAACACCGAAUACUGUAA
This is a non-coding RNA of Acanthosepion pharaonis, 114 nucleotides long. The record is from the annotation of a GenBank genome assembly. NCBI's taxonomy places the organism in Eukaryota, Metazoa, Mollusca, Cephalopoda, Sepiida, Sepiidae.